This 642-nucleotide ribosomal RNA is filed under the name uncultured eukaryote. Its description in RNAcentral is "SSU rRNA". It matches the Rfam family "Eukaryotic small subunit ribosomal RNA", at positions 569 to 1207 of the family's 1831-position model. The record is from RNAcentral.
AGCAGCCGCGGUAAUUCCAGCUCCAUCAGUGUAUAUUAACGUUGUUGCGGUUAAAAAGCUCGUAGUUGGAUUUCGGAGUGCGAAGGUCAAGACCCAUCAAAUUGGUGUGGUCCGACAGUCGCCUCCUAGCUUAGGGUAACAGCCUCUCUUCCUUUGCGGGUUGGGAUGUGCCGUUCCCUAUCUUUUACUUUGAUAAAAUCAGAGUGUUCAAAGCAGGCGUCACUUGCCUUGAAUGUUGCCGCAAGGGAUAAUAGAAUAUGACUUUGGUCUUAUUAUGUUGGUUUCUAGGGCUGAAGUAAUGACUAAUAGGGACAGUUGGGGGCGCUCGUAUUGAGUUGUCAGAGGUGAAAUUCUAGGAUUUACUCAAGACGAACUACUGCGAAAGCAUUCGCCAAGGAUGUUUUCAUUAAUCAAGAACGAAAGUUGGGGGAUCGAAGAUGAUCAGAUACCGUUGUAGUCUCAACCAUAAACUACGUGGACCAACGAUCCGAGGAAGUUACAUGGAUGACUCUCCGGGCAGUUUGUGAGAAAUCAUAAGUAUUUGCAUUCCGGGGGGAGUAUGGUCGCAAGGCUGAAACUUAAAGGAAUUGACGGAAGGGCACCACCAGGAGUGGAACCUGCGGCUUAAUUUGACUCAACACG